Molecule: ribosomal RNA, 254 nt
Filed under: uncultured bacterium
Lineage: Bacteria
Description: partial 16S ribosomal RNA
Rfam family: Bacterial small subunit ribosomal RNA
Source: RNAcentral
UACAGAGGGUGCGAGCGUUGUCCGGAAUCACUGGGCGUAAAGGGCGCGUAGGUGGUGGCUUAAGCGUGCGGUGAAAGCUCGGGGCUCAACUCCGAGUCGGCCGUGCGAACUGGGCUCACUGGAGCAUAGUAGAGGCAGGUGGAAUUCCGGGUGUAGUGGUGGAAUGCGUAGAGAUCCGGAGGAACACCGAUGGCGAAGGCAGUUCUCUGGGCCGUAACUGACGCUGAGGAGCGAAAGCGUGGGGAGCGAACAGG